UAGAUUGAAGCCAGUUGUUUAGGGUAUUUAGCUGUUAACUAAAUUAUCGUCGGGUUGGAACCCACGGGUCUAG
This 73-nucleotide transfer RNA is filed under the name Eospalax fontanierii cansus. Its description in RNAcentral is "tRNA-Asn". Lineage: Eukaryota; Metazoa; Chordata; Mammalia; Rodentia; Spalacidae. The record is from RNAcentral.